This 645-nucleotide ribosomal RNA is filed under the name uncultured actinomycete. Its description in RNAcentral is "bacterial SSU rRNA". It matches the Rfam family "Bacterial small subunit ribosomal RNA", at positions 232 to 885 of the family's 1533-position model. Lineage: Bacteria; Bacillati; Actinomycetota; Actinomycetes; Actinomycetales. The record is from RNAcentral.
CGCGGCCUAUCAGCUUGUUGGUGAGGUAACGGCUCACCAAGGCGACGACGGGUAGCUGGUCUGAGAGGACGAUCAGCCACACUGGGACUGAGACACGGCCCAGACUCCUACGGGAGGCAGCAGCAGGGAAUUUUGCACAAUGGGCGCAAGCCUGAUGCAGCGACGCCGCGUGGGGGAUGAAUGCCUUCGGGUUGUAAACCCCUUUCAGGAGGGACGAAGCGAAAGUGACGGUACCUCCAGAAGAAGCCCCGGCCAACUACGUGCCAGCAGCCGCGGUAAUACGUAGGGGGCGAGCGUUGUCCGGAUUUAUUGGGCGUAAAGAGCUCGUAGGCGGCUCAACAAGUCGGCCGUGAAAGCCUGAGGCUCAACCUCAGGACGCCGGUCGAAACUGUUGUGGCUAGGGUUCGGUAGAGGAGAGUGGAAUUCCCGGUGUAGCGGUGAAAUGCGCAGAUAUCGGGAGGAACACCAGUAGCGAAGGCGGCUCUCUGGGCCGACACCGACGCUGAGGAGCGAAAGCUAGGGGGGCAAACAGGAUUAGAUACCCUGGUAGUCCUAGCCGUAAACGUUGGGCACUAGGUGUGGCGGAUUCAUUGACAUCUGCCGUGCCGUAGCUAACGCAUUAAGUGCCCCGCCUGGGGAGUACGG